This 434-nucleotide long non-coding RNA is filed under the name Nicotiana tabacum (common tobacco). Its description in RNAcentral is "long non-coding RNA (NTAB_LNC002192)". Lineage: Eukaryota; Viridiplantae; Streptophyta; Magnoliopsida; Solanales; Solanaceae. The record is from RNAcentral.
UUUUUUUCAAAUCCAGACUUCCUUUUUUCCCCAAAAUAUCCUAAGAGAAAAUUCGUCAGACUAGGUUUUCUAUCUUAGGAGAAAGAUUCAUCAGACUAAGACGUUAAUCCUAGGAGAAAAUUCAUCAGACUAUGUCCUUUUUCUUUUUUUUUUGGUAUCUUAGGAGAAAGAUUCAUCUGACUAAGAUUUCUAUCCUAGGAGAAAGUUCAUCAGACUAGGUCUUCUAUCUUAGGAGAAAGAUUCAUCAGACUAAGACGUUAAUCCUAGGAGAAAAUUCAUCAGACUAGGUCCUUUUUUUUUUUGGUAUCUUAGGAGAAUGAUUCAUCAGACUAAGACAUCUAUCCUAGGAGAAAGUUCAUCAGACUAGGUCUUCUAUCUUAGGAGAAAAAUUCAUCAGACUAAGAUUUUGAUCCUAGGAGAAAGUUCAUCAGACU